GUGCUCACUUCGGCAGCACAUAUACUAAAAACUGGAAUGAUAUAGAGAGGGUUAGCAUGGCUGCUGCGCAAGGAUGACACGCAAAUUCAUGAAGCAUUCUAUAUUCAA
Small nuclear RNA from Molossus molossus (Pallas's mastiff bat), 108 nucleotides. The record is from RefSeq and is a predicted model, not a curated record. Lineage: Eukaryota; Metazoa; Chordata; Mammalia; Chiroptera; Molossidae.